AGAGAGAGAGAGAGAGAGAGAGAGAGAAGUGAGCUAAACUCGAGAGGAAGAAGGAAAGAGAGAGAGAGAGCAGCGACAGAGAGGGAGAGCUAUCGAGAUAGGAAGUCAUCUCACAAGGAAGAGUUCAAUCUUGCAUUAUUGUUGGUUAUAAUUGACAAAGUUCGGGAGUUGAGGAGAUUGAGACUAUACACUUGGUGGAAAGCUCGACUCGUUGAGUUAUCAUUUUGGGAGUCUUUGUGAGAAUUUUGUUCCACCAUAGAAUGAGGCUAAAUCUUAAAUUAAUAAUAUUAAUGCUUGUUUGAAUGUGAUAAGUUGAAUGGGUAUAAGGAUCUUGAUGAUUUAUUUUUCAAGAAGAAACUAUAUGAGUUCGGUUAAUUGCGGUGUAGUGAUACUGUUGUGAUCAUAUAAAACGAACGAUCAGGCCGCUGAUCUGGCAGAAUAUAAAAUGGACGAUUAGGCCACUGAACUGGCGGAAUAUAAAACAGACGAUUAGGCUCCUGAUUCAGCAGAUAUAAAAUGGAUGUUAGGCUCCUAUUGCCGGAGAAAAAUAGGUAACCAUCGCUUAUAAGAUUUGAAAUGAGGGGAUUGUGGAUGAUACAUGCGAGGUCACAGUUCCGUCAAAACUCUAUCAGGAGGGAAUGUGAUCCUAUGGCUAGUAUUUGUUGUAUUGAAAUUGUUGUUGAGGUUAGAUUAUAUUGAAUUGGUAGGUAAAUAUAUAAUAAUAAUUGUUUUAUGACGAGUCUUGUGAGACAAGUGAUAUGUGAUUGUCCUUGGGAAUAUUAAUCGGAUAAACGAAUAAAUCUAAUGGUUCAUUUUAUUAUGGAAUUUAAUACUUACUGAGGUACAGCUCACCUCUGCAUAUAUUUUUUUAUGCAAAUAAGUUAGAAGCUAGACUAGCUGCAUCAGAGGAUUUUUUGGACAUCGGGGAUCAACGUGAAAGACUUGUAGCUAGACCUAUAUAUACAAUAGGCAUCAAGCUAUGUAUAAAAUGCUUGUGGAUAGUUGCGACCUGAAAAAUUUUGUUUAACUAUUCAUGGGUGGUUGUGAAAAAUAUGCUAGAAGUUCCUUUGGAGAUGUGAUAUAUACGUUUCUUUGAUAUAAAUAUGAAGUGGUUGGCUGGGAUAGAUGUAGUUGGGAUUUUAUGAAAUUGUUUAAGAGGUUUAAAUUUGGAAAAUGAAUAUCGUGAUACUUUAAAGGAAAUUCUAUAGGAUUUUUGGAUCGUGAGAGUAUCCAAGUAGAACAUUAAUCUGGAUGGACCAAUUUAUGUCCGUCUACUCGAAUCACCUUCUCGGGUGAUAGUACUUCGGUGUUCCAGAGCAAAUAUUUCAAGAAAUUGAUAUUUGGGGGCGCCAGCAGGCAGCGGCCAUUUUCAGAACUUCGGAAGUUCUUCAUGCCCUCGUAAUGGCUUUGAUACCACGCAUAACAAACGAAUUUGGUGAAUAGUUUCUUUUUGUUGUUUUUGGUCAAUGACAAUUGGAUAUUCUGAAGUUCAAUGAGAUAUGAUUAAUUUAAGUUUGAAUCGUGUCGCCCUACUAAAAGGUAAAUUUAUCAUAAUCAUGAAUAUUCCCUAUUCAUUAUAUUUAAAAUCGAGACCUAAUUAAUAAACGUCGAAUCAUUUGAAUCAAUCUACGUUAUUAUUUAGUUUUUCCGUAAUAUCAAUUGGUUGGCUGCCCUCUUCCUUAUAUACAAGACUCAAUAGUAAGGAAACCAAAUAUAGCAAUUAUUAAUCUCUUUAUUCCUAAUAGUUAGAGAAAGUCUUAUAUGUAACGGGAUAUAACACGUGACAAUAUAGGCAAUUUCAUCCCUGACUUUCGUAAGUUGCAUCAAUUUCGUCCCUGAUUUAUUUUUUUCCUCAAUUUCAUCCCCGACUUUGCACUUUUGCAUCAAUUUAGUCCUUGACUUUGCACUUUUACAUCAAUUUCUUCCCUAACUUUUCAGUUACAUCAAUUUUGUCAUCGAAUUUGCACGGUUACAUCAAUUUAGUCCAUAACUUUGUGCAGUUACAUCAGUUAGUGCUGUAGUUGCAUCAAUUUGGUCAUUGUGUGGGGUGGUUGCAUUGAUCAGGUCGCAAUGCGACAUCAAUUUGGUCAUGCCGUUAAGUAUGAAUGCUAACGGUGUUAAAUUGUGGAAAUUGUUACAUCAAUUUGGUCCUCAUGCUAUAUCAAAUCAGUCCCUGCGUCCCUUCAUCCCUCCUUCACCAUCCUCCUACUGUGAGCCCAUCAAUGGCUUUUGCUUUAAAACGAAAACCUUCCACAGUCUCCGUCUUGAAGUGCCUCUCUCUCCGCCUUCUGAUCAUGAUCCCCUCUCCAUCACCGACUACGCCCUCUCCCUUCUCCGCACCUCCAUCCCCGUCUCCUCCACUUUCAUCAUCGAUGCCUAAACAAUUCGACUAUGUUUCUCACUUCUAUCUGAUUGACUACCGCUCGCUUUUUAGCCUUCUCUCUCGCCCGUGCUCUCCUCUAAGCUCGAAGCCGAUGACUCAGUGUUGGAGCUCAGUCCGAUGGCGCUGCUGAGCUAGUAGCUGCAGCGGUUCCUCCUGACCGGACUCAGCCACGACUCGAGCUCCAAAUCAAGCGCCAGGACAAGCAUAUCGAUCAACAACUAUAAAUCGAGGAGCCUAUGCUACUUUGCCAUUGCCAUCGAUGCUCCCCCUUCCCUGGCGGGGGUGUCGGGGAUUAGGUGGGGGUAUACGAGCCUGCAAGGUCUGCAUGAGGAGAUGGAGGACGAUGUAGUCGUGCAGUUGGACGGACUGGAAGGAUUCACCUUCAUUGCCGUCUUUGAUGGCCACGGUGGUUUCUCUGUCGUCAAUUUCCUAAGGGAUGCGCUGUUUAAAUAAAGAAUGCCUCCUAUCAUUGCAAGGAGGUCUGCUCCUAAGUAAGAAAGACGUUAGUACCAUCAGAGAGGCAUUGCAAGAGGCCUUUGUCAAUGCCGAUUCGAAACUAUUGACUUGGCUCGAGGCAAUCCCAGAGGAAGAUGAAUCAAGUUCAACAGCCAUCGUCAUGUUCUUAGGGAAUGAUUCUCUGAUCAUUUCCCAUGUUGGCGUUCAUGUGUGGUAUAUGUUCUUUCCCGAUUAAGCCUUGGGCCAUUCAACUGGUCGCUGAUGGAUUUUAAGCUUAUAUUGCUUUGAGUGGAGAGAAGUUGAGUGAGAAAUGGAAGCUUGCACAAGGAGAGGAAGAGGAAGAUGAAGACGUAAGAGAGGAAAUUCGUUUGAAGUGAGACUGUGGGACCAAAGAGAAGGGGAGAGAGAAAGAGAGAGAGAGAGAGAGAGAAUGUAGAGGAAGAAGAUGAUAAUUUGGGAUUACAUCAAUUUGUCCAAGUGUUACAUCAGUUCAGUCCUUGAACAAAUUAACGGAGUAGUAACGUCGUUUGCCCCUUUACCACUUGGACUGGAUUGAUGUAAUUAUGAUCAAUUUGAUGUAACGCCAAAACUCAGAGACUUGUGUUGCAAAAGUCAGGGACUAAAUUGAUGUAAUCGUGCAAAGUCGUGGACCAAUUUUAUGUAACUGAA
This is a non-coding RNA of Punica granatum (pomegranate), 3508 nucleotides long. NCBI's taxonomy places the organism in Eukaryota, Viridiplantae, Streptophyta, Magnoliopsida, Myrtales, Lythraceae. The record is from RefSeq and is a predicted model, not a curated record.